AUGUAAAAUUACAUGAUUGAGCUCCUGUUUUUAAUAUUUGUUCCAUUGUGCGCAGCCCCUAAGGCCUUAUGUUUCAAAAUGCUCUUUCCGAAAAAAAUUUACUCGAUAUAAUACAGUAUACGUUACGUGUACUAUAUGUUUUGAAUAACUUUCUUCGGAAAGAACGUUUUGAAAUAUUGCCUAAGUAAAAUGGUGGCUAAAUGAAAAGAAGAAAAGAAAAAGUUCUCCAGUUUUUUAAAAUUGUGUCUGCCCUAUACUGAACUACGAUCAGAAAAAAGGAUUAAAGAAAUCACGAUUUGUAGUAUGUAAUUAAACUAAAUACCGUUGUUGGUGGCUGCUAAGGAUGCACAAUUAAUGAAAUUGAUUAGGAUUGGGUUAGCCAAUACAUGGUGGAUAAGUUUAAUACCAAAUCUUCACUUUCAUUUGAUUAAGCAAAAGGGAAAGCAGAUUAAAUCAUUGCAAAAAUAUAAGUUAUUUGAGAUCAUUAUCGAUUAUUCGGAUGGAAAAGUUGAUUGAUUAUUUUCGAUUAGCCAGUCGCAAAUUAUUUCAAGAAUUAAUAUUUGUAACAGUGACGAUAAGACGGUGAUUAUGGUAAAUGCAAGUAGUGUCGUAGCACAUUUUGUGAAAUUGCUAGUGACUGCAAUAUGCAUGAGGCAUAUCACGGAGCCUUACCGGGCAAUGGCUUUGCCGACUACAUGGUCCUUACGUGCCUUUCGAAUUCUCUUUAUGCAUUCAAUCUUGGGAAUUUUCAGAUUUGGUAUGGAGCAUCUAAGAUUCCAUGUCAUAACUGGGGAAGGGAGGGGGGUCACAUUGAAGAGUGAUUGAUACAAAAUGAUACAUGGCCACACACGAUAUUUAAUUUUUGUAUCUAAAUGACAUAUGGAAGAGGAAGAUGUAUUCUACGUUUACCAACAUUAAGGAUUAUGGUAAUAAUUCGUGCAAAUUACUUGUUAUCAUUGGAACAUGUGAGGAAACACCAUGAACAUACAUAUUCCAUUAUAGAACAUGUUUAUUUUGAAGAUUUCUAUACUUUGCUUUAUUCAACAUUUUUUAAUGGUAUUUA
This 1063-nucleotide unclassified non-coding RNA is filed under the name Pogonomyrmex barbatus (red harvester ant). RNAcentral describes it as "uncharacterized LOC105424122, transcript variant X4". The record is from RNAcentral. Lineage: Eukaryota; Metazoa; Arthropoda; Insecta; Hymenoptera; Formicidae.